AGGAACAGAGGCGGCUUCACCACUCGUCUCACAGCAUCCCACAGCCCGACUCUCCAAAAUAAAACCCCAAAACGAUGUGAAGAGAAAACACACAGACACUCGUCCACUGGCAGACAUGCACCCACAGGGCGGUACCAACCGAGUGAAGUCGGCUCCUCCACCUGCCACAAACUGAACUGGCGACAAACGUUUGUGCUCCUGAUAUUAAUAAAGGUUUAAAGGUCAAAAGUUCAACCAGACCCCCACACAUUACCUCAAUCCAAUAAAAGUUGGUGUAAAAUGUUUGUGCUGCAAUCAUCUUAAAGAUAUUAAUAAAAAAGUUCCCAGAGGUCAACCAGCCAAAUAUUGGUGUCAGUAAGCUCAAAGCUAAGUUUGUGCUGCAAAAUGUUUCAUUUGUGCUGCUUUUGUUUUAAAGAUGUUAAAGUUUAAAGGUCAAAAGUUCAACCAUCCCUCACACAUUACGAAAAUCUAACAAAGUUGGUGUAAAAUGUUUUUGUUUGUGCUGCUUUUGCUUUGACGAUAUUAAUGGAAGUUUAAAGGUCACAAGGUCAACCAGACCUCCACCCCCACAUUACCCAAAUGUAACCAUAUUGGUGUCUAACGUUUGCACAGAAAAAUGUAUUGUUUGUGCCGCUAUCAUUUUAGGAUAAUAAAGUUUCAAGAGGUCAGAGGUCAACCAUUUCCCCGCUCACAUUUACAAAUUCAAACAAACUUGGUGUCAAUCAACUUUGGUUGUGCAGCAAAUAUUUUCAUUUGUGGUGCUUUUGCUUUGACGAUAUUGAUAAAAAACAUCUGGAAACGUUUCUUAUCAAUAUCUUUAAAGUGACAGCGGCACAAAUGAAAAUGUUUGCUGCACAAACGUUUGACACCAAUUUUGUUAGAUUUGAAGAAGGUGGGAGGAGCCAACUUCACUCAGGUCACAAACACGCCAACAAAAGGAGACAGAAGAAGACAAGGCUGCAAUUUAAAGAUAACAGUUGAUUGAGAGACAACAGCUAAAGCAACAGGAAACAAGAAAACAGUGGAUGGUUCAGCUUUAAGACAGCAGUACUAAGGGCCACAACAGGACUAAUGUGACACAGUCGGUACCGUACCUUGCAAAAUAGUCCACACCUUCUGAGUUUUCCACAUUUCGUCUCACCACAACCACAAACUGGAACCGUUUACUGGGAUUUUAUGUGAUGGAUAAUUACAAAGUAGCUAAAGAU
This is a long non-coding RNA of Poecilia latipinna (sailfin molly), 1208 nucleotides long. RefSeq lists it as uncharacterized. The transcript has 2 exons. Lineage: Eukaryota; Metazoa; Chordata; Actinopteri; Cyprinodontiformes; Poeciliidae. The record is from RefSeq and is a predicted model, not a curated record.